AGAGCUCGUAGGCGGUUUGUCGCGUCUGCUGUGAAAUCCCGAGGCUCAACCUCGGGUCUGCAGUGGGUACGGGCAGACUAGAGUGCGGUAGGGGAGAUUGGAAUUCCUGGUGUAGCGGUGGAAUGCGCAGAUAUCAGGAGGAACACCGAUGGCGAAGGCAGAUCUCUGGGCCGCUACUGACGCUGAGGAGCGAAAGGGUGGGGAGCAAACAGGCUUAGAUACCCUGGUAGUCCACCCCGUAAACGUUGGGCGCUAGAUGUGGGGACCAUUCCACGGUUUCCGUGUCGUAGCUAACGCAUUAAGCGCCCCGCCUGGGGAGUACGGCCGCAAGGCUAAAACUCAAAGGAAUUGACGGGGGCCCGCACAAGCGGCGGAGCAUGCGGAUUAAUUCGAUGCAACGCGAAGAACCUUACCAAGGCUUGACAUAUACGAGAACGGGCCAGAAAUGGUCAACUCUUUGGACACUCGUAAACAGGUGGUGCAUGGUUGUCGUCAGCUCGUGUCGUGAGAUGUUGGGUUAAGUCCCGCAACGAGCGCAACCCUCGUUCUAUGUUGCCAGCACGUAAUGGUGGGAACUCAUGGGAUACUGCCGGGGUCAACUCGGAGGAAGGUGGGGACGACGUCAAAUCAUCAUGCCCCUUAUGUCUUGGGCUUCACGCAUGCUACAAUGGCCAGUACAAAGGGCUGCAAUACCGUAAGGUGGAGCGAAUCCCAAAAAGCUGGUCCCAGUUCGGAUUGAGGUCUGCAACUCGACCUCAUGAAGUCGGAGUCGCUAGUAAUCGCAGAUCAGCAACGCUGCGGUGAAUACGUUCCCGGGCCUUGUACACACCGCCCGUCAAGUCAUGAAAGUCGGUAACACCCGAAGCCAGUGGCCUAACCGCAAGGAUGGAGCUGUCU
RNAcentral lists this ribosomal RNA (897 nucleotides) under Plantibacter sp. RNAcentral describes it as "bacterial SSU rRNA". It matches the Rfam family "Bacterial small subunit ribosomal RNA", at positions 564 to 1458 of the family's 1533-position model. Lineage: Bacteria; Bacillati; Actinomycetota; Actinomycetes; Micrococcales; Microbacteriaceae. The record is from RNAcentral.